GCACAAGCGGUGGAGUAUGUGGUUUAAUUCGAUGCAACGCGAAGAACCUUACCUGGUCUUGACAUCCCGGAGACCCUUAGGAAACUAGGGGGUGCUUCCAUCUGGAAGAAUCUGGAGACAGGUGCUGCAUGGCUGUCGUCAGCUCGUGUCGUGAGAUGUUGGGUUAAGUCCCGCAACGAGCGCAACCCUUGCCUUUAGUUGCCAGCAGUUCGGCUGGGCACUCUAAAGGGACUGCCGGUGUUAAACCGGAGGAAGGUGGGGAUGACGUCAAGUCCUCAUGGCCUUUAUGACCAGGGCUACACACGUACUACAAUGGCCGAUACAAAGGGCAGCGACACUGCGAGGUGAUGCCAAUCCCGUAAAAUCGGUCUCAGUCCGGAUUGGAGUCUGCAACUCGACUCCAUGAAGUUGGAAUCGCUAGUAAUCGCGCAUCAGCCAUGGCGCGGUGAAUACGUUCCCGGGCCUU
This 466-nucleotide ribosomal RNA is filed under the name uncultured Desulfobulbus sp. RNAcentral's name for it is "bacterial SSU rRNA". It matches the Rfam family "Bacterial small subunit ribosomal RNA", at positions 923 to 1382 of the family's 1533-position model. The record is from RNAcentral. Lineage: Bacteria; Pseudomonadati; Thermodesulfobacteriota; Desulfobulbia; Desulfobulbales; Desulfobulbaceae.